AGAGUUUGAUCAUGGCUCAGAGCGAACGCUGGCGGCAGGCUUAACACAUGCAAGUCGAGCGGAUGUAGCAAUACAUCAGCGGCAGACGGGUGAGUAACGCGUGGGAACAUACCUUUUGGUUCGGAACAACCCAGGGAAACUUGGGCUAAUACCGGAUAAGCCCUUACGGGGAAAGAUUUAUCGCCGAAAGAUUGGCCCGCGUCUGAUUAGCUAGUUGGUGAGGUAACGGCUCACCAAGGCGACGAUCAGUAGCUGGUCUGAGAGGAUGAUCAGCCACAUUGGGACUGAGACACGGCCCAAACUCCUACGGGAGGCAGCAGUGGGGAAUAUUGGACAAUGGGCGCAAGCCUGAUCCAGCCAUGCCGCGUGAGUGAUGAAGGCCCUAGGGUUGUAAAGCUCUUUUGUGCGGGAAGAUAAUGACGGUACCGCAAGAAUAAGCCCCGGCUAACUUCGUGCCAGCAGCCGCGGUAAUACGAAGGGGGCUAGCGUUGCUCGGAAUCACUGGGCGUAAAGGGUGCGUAGGCGGGUCUUUAAGUCAGGGGUGAAAUCCUGGAGCUCAACUCCAGAACUGCCUUUGAUACUGAGGAUCUUGAGUUCGGGAGAGGUGAGUGGAACUGCGAGUGUAGAGGUGAAAUUCGUAGAUAUUCGCAAGAACACCAGUGGCGAAGGCGGCUCACUGGCCCGAUACUGACGCUGAGGCACGAAAGCGUGGGGAGCAAACAGGAUUAGAUACCCUAGUAGUCC
This 744-nucleotide ribosomal RNA is filed under the name uncultured bacterium. RNAcentral's name for it is "bacterial SSU rRNA". It matches the Rfam family "Bacterial small subunit ribosomal RNA", at positions 8 to 796 of the family's 1533-position model. The record is from RNAcentral.